CUCUACAAGUGAUUAAAGUUUCAUUAUAAAUUAAUACAAUAGUUUAAUGUUUGUUACAUAAAAAUGAUACAAAAAAUAUGACUAAAAUUUCCAAGUUUGUUUAUACUAUGAUGAUCUUUAUUUUUUUUAUAGGUAAGAUAAGCGCUGGACAAAGUGUCUUUUGUUUCACAACCUAUAUGUGUAGGGGUCUGUGUAUCGCUCCUUUGAAAGGCAUUUGUAGUAAUGAUAUGUGUCGUUGCUUGUGAUGGUUCACAAAGUGUCACUUUUAAUUAGUGAGAGGUUAAGGGACUAAAUUUGUAAACCUCCUAAUUUUUUAUGAAUUUUUAUGUUAUAUGUGAUAAAGUUUUAAUUUUCAUGAUGAAUAUGAAAUAAAGUUUGAAUUUUUAUGUUA
This is a long non-coding RNA of Cicer arietinum (chickpea), 391 nucleotides long. RefSeq lists it as uncharacterized. The record is from RefSeq and is a predicted model, not a curated record. NCBI's taxonomy places the organism in Eukaryota, Viridiplantae, Streptophyta, Magnoliopsida, Fabales, Fabaceae.